Molecule: ribosomal RNA, 492 nt
Filed under: uncultured bacterium
Lineage: Bacteria
Description: partial 16S ribosomal RNA
Rfam family: Bacterial small subunit ribosomal RNA
Source: RNAcentral
AGUGAACGCUGGCGGCAUGCCUAAUACAUGCAAGUCGAGCGAACACACAGUAAGAUUUCUCUCCUACGGUUAGCGACGGACGGAUGGGUAACAAAUACAUAACCUUCCUAUUUUUCUGGGGUAACAUCGUGAGAACACUUCUACUAAUACCUAAUAUGUCCUACGGCUUAAAGCAGUAGUGCUUCGGACCUUGCGUGAUACAUUGAGACGGUGUCGGAUUAGCUAGUUGGCGAGGUAACGGCUCACCAAGGCAACGAUGCGUAGCUGGCCUGAGAGGAUGAUCGGCCACACUGGAACUGAGACACGGUCCAGACUCCUACGGGAGGCAGCAGUGGGGAAUAUUGCGCAAUGGGCGAAAGCCUGACGGAGCAACGCCGCGUGAGUGAUGAAGGUCUUCGGAUUGUAAAGCUCUGUUGUUAGGAAAGAAAAACAGCGUAUGUAUCUACGCACGUUUUGACGGUACCUAAAGAGAAAGCCACGGCUAACUUCGUG